UCUCCUGGAAACGGGUGGUAAUGCCGGAUGUUCCACAUGAGCGCAUGCGAGUGUGGGAAAGGCUUUUUGCGGCAUGGGAUGGGGUCGCGUCCUAUCAGCUUGUUGGUGGGGUAACGGCCUACCAAGGCGUUGACGGGUAGCCGGCCUGAGAGGGCGACCGGCCACAUUGGGACUGAGAUACGGCCCAGACUCCUACGGGAGGCAGCAGUGGGGAAUAUUGCACAAUGGGCGCAAGCCUGAUGCAGCGACGCCGCGUGCGGGAUGGAGGCCUUCGGGUUGUAAACCGCUUUUGUUCAAGGGCAAGGCACGGUUUCGGCCGUGUUGAGUGGAUUGUUCGAAUAAGCACCGGCUAACUACGUGCCAGCAGCCGCGGUAAUACGUAGGGUGCAAGCGUUAUCCGGAUUUAUUGGGCGUAAAGGGCUCGUAGGCGGUUCGUCGCGUCCGGUGUGAAAGUCCAUCGCUUAACGGUGGAUCCGCGCCGGGUACGGGCGGGCUUGAGUGCGGUAGGGGAGACUGGAAAUUCCCGGUGUAACGGUGGAAUGUGUAGAUAUCGGGAAGAACACCA
Molecule: ribosomal RNA, 565 nt
Filed under: uncultured Bifidobacterium sp.
Lineage: Bacteria; Bacillati; Actinomycetota; Actinomycetes; Bifidobacteriales; Bifidobacteriaceae
Description: bacterial SSU rRNA
Rfam family: Bacterial small subunit ribosomal RNA
Source: RNAcentral